This 253-nucleotide long non-coding RNA is filed under the name Homo sapiens (human). RNAcentral's name for it is "non-protein coding lnc-ABHD4-12:22". The record is from RNAcentral. Lineage: Eukaryota; Metazoa; Chordata; Mammalia; Primates; Hominidae.
AAAAUUCAGGUAGAGGCCUUGUCCACCUAAUUUUAAUACGUUCAAAUGAAAGAGAGAAACACAGUGGAAGAUUAAGAGUCACGCUUGACACUUCCAAGAAAAGCAGUUCCUUGUUGAUCACGGCUUCCCGGGCAGCAGACACUGCUUCUUACUUCUGUGCUACGGGGCACUGCCAGUAAACUCACCUUUGGGACUGGAACAAGACUUCAGGUCACGCUCGAUAUCCAGAACCCUGACCCUGCCGUGUACCAGC